GACGAACGCUGGCGGCGUGCUUAACACAUGCAAGUCGUACGGUAAGGCCCUUUCGGGGGUACACAAGUGGCGAACGGGGGAGUAACACGUGAGUAACCUGCCCACAACUUUGGGAUAACGCUAGGAAACUGGUGCUAAUACUGGAUAUGUGCCCCUGCUGCAUGGUGGGGGUUGGAAAGCUCCGGCGGUUGUGGAUGGACUCGCGGCCUAUCAGCUUGUUGGUGGGGUAGUGGCCUACCAAGGCGGCGACGGGUAGCCGGCCUGAGAGGGUGACCGGCCACAUUGGGACUGAGAUGCGGCCCAGACUCCUACGGGAGGCAGCAGUGGGGAACAUUGCACCAUGGGCGCAAGCCUGAUGCAGCAGCGCCGCGUGCGGGAUGACGGCCUUCGGGGUGUAAACCGCUUUCAGCAGGGACGAAGCUUUUUGUGACGGUACCUGCAGAAGAAGCACCGGCUAACUACGUG
Molecule: ribosomal RNA, 465 nt
Filed under: uncultured bacterium
Lineage: Bacteria
Description: partial 16S ribosomal RNA
Rfam family: Bacterial small subunit ribosomal RNA
Source: RNAcentral